GGGAUUGUGGCUCAGUGGUAGAGCGCUCAUCUAGCACGUGAGAGGCGCUAGGUUGAAUCCUCAGCACCA
Molecule: transfer RNA, 69 nt
Filed under: Marmota marmota marmota (Alpine marmot)
Lineage: Eukaryota; Metazoa; Chordata; Mammalia; Rodentia; Sciuridae
Also listed under: 2 other names
Rfam family: tRNA
About the family: Transfer RNA (tRNA) molecules are approximately 80 nucleotides in length. Their secondary structure includes four short double-helical elements and three loops (D, anti-codon, and T loops).
Source: Rfam by way of RNAcentral